GACCACGGGGUGGGCAGGCUGAGGCGAGGACGCUGCAGGGGCGGGAAGGAGGAGAGAAGGCAAGCGAGAAGCCUCCCCGUGCUGCCUGGUGCAGGCGCCGGGGGCACCCACCUUCCGCUCCCCUGCGGAGUCCGGCGCGGUGUCUCGCACAAACUCCCUUAGCCAGCCACGGCGUCCGCCAAGCCCCGCCUGCAGCUGGGGGAACCCGAGGGAGGCGUCGGCUGCCCGGGUAGAGCACGGGAGGCUGGACGGACUCGCCGUGGCAUCUAGCCGGAGAAGAAAGGCUGCCGCCAAAGGGGAAAUCAGCCUUGGUGCUGUAUUGCUGCUGCACUUCAGGAACUUCGGCCAACUCCGGGUGGAGUUGAUAAGUGGUAAAUAAACAGAAAGGUGAGGCAGAGGACAAAGCAGACGUCUGGAAUCGGAGAGGGCUGUAGUUAGCUAAUUGUGAUCCUUUGCCUUCUUUUAAAAAUAGACUCCAAGUACAGUGAUGAUUCCACUGAACAGUCUGACAGGAGCUGUCAGACUGAGAAACAUGAAAUAUUGCUAUCCACUUUCAAGAAUUCCCUUUUUGACAUUGCUUUAAGACAGUUUUGACCCAGCAAAGAAUGUGCCUGUUCAAACCAUAGACAGCCAGUUUGUCCAAGAAGAUGCUGUUGGAAACCAUGUCAAAGGCUUUACUAAAGUCCAGUUAAUUGCUAAAUACCAACACUAAUCAGCAAUCUUGCUGUCUCUGCAAGAGUCUUGGCUUCACUUUUAAUAUGCAAACUCCACCAGCCUACGCUCUACUAGGAAUGUUUUUCUGCAAUCUCCAGGUGUACUGUUUUUCUCAGAGUACUCUAAUGUCAGUCUGCCCAGUCUGUUACCUCACAAUGGUGAUGUACAUCUGCUUCUUAAAUAAAUACUUCACUCAACAAGUGAGCUGCAAAGAGCCUGCCUGCUAAAUUGAGGUGACCAAAAAAAAAUUCCCCCUCUAUGAAAGAGGAUGAAUUCUCUUUAUGCAAGAACGGAUGAAAAAGGAAGCAUCAUUUUAUCAAAAAAAAACAACCAAGUUGUUUGCAUGUUUAUCUGCAAUGUAAAAAUGGGCUUUUCCAGUCUAAAACAGAACUUGCUGCUUUAGGCUAACAGACAAAAUGAUUUGUCCAGUACUUUGGCAAUGCAUCUUGAGUUAAGCAAUGU
This is a long non-coding RNA of Pogoniulus pusillus (Red-fronted tinkerbird), 1176 nucleotides long. RefSeq lists it as uncharacterized. The record is from RefSeq and is a predicted model, not a curated record. NCBI's taxonomy places the organism in Eukaryota, Metazoa, Chordata, Aves, Piciformes, Lybiidae. The transcript has 6 exons.